AAGGUUUCCGUAGGUGAACCUGCGGAAGGAUCAUUAUUGAAUUCAACGCGAAGUUGUGCUGGCUUUCAGGAGCAUGUGCACGCUUUGCAUAUAUUCAACCACCUGUGAACUUACUGUAGAUCUUGAGGAAACGCUCAAGGAAACUUGGAUGGUAGAGCUUGCUGGCUUCGAUAAGAGGUCGACUGCUCUUGUUCCUCAGGUCUACCUUUCUAUAUACCCCAUAAUUGUUAUAGAAUGUCAUAACGGCUCUUUAAUGAGCAUUAAACCUAUACAACUUUCAACAACGGAUCUCUUGGCUCUCGCAUCGAUGAAGAACGCAGCGAAAUGCGAUAAGUAAUGUGAAUUGCAGAAUUCAGUGAAUCAUCGAAUCUUUGAACGCACCUUGCACCCUUUGGUAUUCCGAAGGGUAUGCCUGUUUGAGUGUCAUUAAAUUCUCAACCUUACCAGCUUGCUGGUUUAAAAGGCUUGGAUUUGGAGGCUUAUAUGCGGGCUUCUCUUGAAGUCGGCUCCUCUUAAAUGCAUUAGCGGAACCUUUGUGUACCAGCUUUUGGUGUGAUAACUAUCUACGCCUUUCAGCUAUCACUGUUGUGGCUCAGCUUCUAACCGUCCGCAAGGACAGCAUAUAUUUGACAUUUGACCUCAAAUCAGGUAGGACUACCC
Molecule: ribosomal RNA, 660 nt
Filed under: Resupinatus applicatus
Lineage: Eukaryota; Fungi; Basidiomycota; Agaricomycetes; Agaricales; Resupinataceae
Description: eukaryotic LSU rRNA
Rfam family: 5.8S ribosomal RNA (bases 273-426)
Source: RNAcentral